This 279-nucleotide unclassified non-coding RNA is filed under the name plant metagenome. RNAcentral's name for it is "partial contains small subunit ribosomal RNA, internal transcribed spacer 1, and 5.8S ribosomal RNA". The record is from RNAcentral.
UCUCCGUAGGUGAACCUGCGGAGGGAUCAUUACAGAGUUCAUGCCUUACCGGGUUGAUCUCACACCCUAUGUUAUUAUUACUUUGUUGCUUUGGCGGGCCGUUAGGCUCCGGCCCGACUACCGGCACCGGCUGGUACGCGACCGUCAGUGGAAACAAAAUCCUGAAUAAUAGUGUUGAAUGAGUACCUUUCAAUAGCGAAACUUUUCAACAACGGAUCUAUUGGUUCCGGCAUCGAUGAAGAAAGCAGAAGAUCGGAAGAGCACAAGUCCGUACGCCAG